Molecule: ribosomal RNA, 467 nt
Filed under: uncultured bacterium
Lineage: Bacteria
Description: partial 16S ribosomal RNA
Rfam family: Bacterial small subunit ribosomal RNA
Source: RNAcentral
ACGAACGCUGGCGGCGUGCUUAACACAUGCAAGUCGAACGGAAAGGCCCUGCUUUUGUGGGGUGCUCUAGUGGCGAACGGGUGAGUAACACGUGAGUAACCUGCCCUUGACUUUGGGAUAACUUCAGGAAACUGGGGCUAAUACCGGAUAGGAGCUCCUGCUGCAUGGUGGGGGUUGGAAAGUUUCGGCGGUUGGGGAUGGACUCGCGGCUUAUCAGCUUGUUGGUGGGGUAGUGGCUUACCAAGGCUUUGACGGGUAGCCGGCCUGAGAGGGUGACCGGCCACAUUGGGACUGAGAUACGGCCCAGACUCCUACGGGAGGCAGCAGUGGGGAAUAUUGCACAAUGGGCGGAAGCCUGAUGCAGCAACGCCGCGUGCGGGAUGACGGCCUUCGGGUUGUAAACCGCUUUCGCCUGUGACGAAGCGUGAGUGACGGUAAUGGGUAAAGAAGCACCGGCUAACUACGUG